Molecule: ribosomal RNA, 484 nt
Filed under: uncultured bacterium
Lineage: Bacteria
Description: partial 16S ribosomal RNA
Rfam family: Bacterial small subunit ribosomal RNA
Source: RNAcentral
AUUGAACGCUGGCGGCAGGCCUAACACAUGCAAGUCGAGCGGAUGAAGGGAGUUUGCUCCUGGAUUCAGCGGCGGACGGGUGAGUAAUGCCUAGGAAUCUGCCUGGUAGUGGGGGAUAACGUCCGGAAACGGGCGCUAAUACCGCAUACGUCCUGAGGGAGAAAGUGGGGGAUCUUCGGAUCUCACGCUAUCAGAUGAGCCUAGGUCGGAUUAGCUAGUUGGUGGGGUAAAGGCCUACCAAGGCGACGAUCCGUAACUGGUCUGAGAGGAUGAUCAGUCACACUGGAACUGAGACACGGUCCAGACUCCUACGGGAGGCAGCAGUGGGGAAUAUUGGACAAUGGGCGAAAGCCUGAUCCAGCCAUGCCGCGUGUGUGAAGAAGGUCUUCGGAUUGUAAAGCACUUUAAGUUGGGAGGAAGGGCAGUAAGUUAAUACCUUGCUGUUUUGACGUUACCAACAGAAUAAGCACCGGCUAACUUCGUG